AUUGAACGCUGGCGGCAGGCCUAACACAUGCAAGUCGAGCGAGCGGCGGACGGGUGAGUAAUGCCUGGGAAUUGCCCAGUCGAGGGGGAUAACAGUUGGAAACGACUGCUAAUACCGCAUACGAUUGGAUUGCCCAGGUGGGAUUAGCUUGUUGGUGAGGUAAUGGCUCACCAAGGCGACGAUCCCUAGCUGGUCUGAGAGGAUGAACAGCCACAAUGGAAAUGAGAAAAGGUCCCGACUCCUACGGGAGGCAGCAGUGGGGAAUAUUGCACAAUGGGGGGAACCCUGAUGCAGCCAUGCCGCGUGUGGGAAGAAGGCCUUCGGGUUGGAAAGCACUUUCAGCGGGGAGGCGGUACUCGCAGAAGAAGCAACGGCUAACUCCGUGCCAGCCGCCGCGGUAAUAC
Molecule: ribosomal RNA, 404 nt
Filed under: uncultured bacterium
Lineage: Bacteria
Description: partial 16S ribosomal RNA
Rfam family: Bacterial small subunit ribosomal RNA
Source: RNAcentral